UACGGGGGGGGCAAGCGUUGUUCGGAAUUACUGGGCGUAAAGGGCUCGUAGGCGGCCAACUAAGUCAUACGUGAAAUCCCUCGGCUUAACCGGGGAACUGCGUCUGAUACUGGAUGGCUUGAGUUCGGGAGAGGGAUGCGGAAUUCCAGGUGUAGCGGUGAAAUGCGUAGAUAUCUGGAGGAACACCGGUGGCGAAGGCGGCAUCCUGGACCGACAUUGACGCUGAGGAGCGAAAGCCAGGGGAGCAAACGGG
RNAcentral lists this ribosomal RNA (253 nucleotides) under uncultured bacterium. Its description in RNAcentral is "partial 16S ribosomal RNA". It matches the Rfam family "Bacterial small subunit ribosomal RNA", at positions 524 to 776 of the family's 1533-position model. The record is from RNAcentral.